RNAcentral lists this ribosomal RNA (468 nucleotides) under uncultured bacterium. RNAcentral describes it as "partial 16S ribosomal RNA". It matches the Rfam family "Bacterial small subunit ribosomal RNA", at positions 28 to 507 of the family's 1533-position model. The record is from RNAcentral.
GACGAACGCUGGCGGCGUGCUUAACACAUGCAAGUCGAACGGAAAGGCCCUGCUUGGGUGGGGUGCUCGAGUGGCGAACGGGAGAGUAACACGUGAGUAACCUGCCCUUGACUUUGGGAUAACUUCAGGAAACUGGGGCUAAUACCGGAUAGGAGCUCCUGCUGCAUGGGGGGGGUUGGAAAGUGUCGGCGGGUGGGGAUGGACUCGCGGCUUAUCAGCUUGUUGGUGGGGUAGUGGCUUACCAAGGCUUUGACGGGUAGCCGGCCUGAGAGCGUGACCGGCCACAUUGGGACUGAGAUACGGCCCAGACUCCUACGUGAGGCAGCAGUGGGGAAUAUUGCCCAAUGGGCGGAAGCCUGAUGCAGCGACGUCGCGUGCGGGAUGACGGCCUUCGGGUUGUAAACCGCUUUCGCCUGUGACGAAGCGUGAGUGACGGUACUGGGUAAAGAAGCACCGGCUAACUACGUG